Molecule: transfer RNA, 76 nt
Filed under: Candidatus Shapirobacteria bacterium CG2_30_35_20
Lineage: Bacteria; Candidatus Shapironibacteriota
Also listed under: 1 other name
Description: tRNA-Ala
Rfam family: tRNA
About the family: Transfer RNA (tRNA) molecules are approximately 80 nucleotides in length. Their secondary structure includes four short double-helical elements and three loops (D, anti-codon, and T loops). Further hydrogen bonds mediate the characteristic L-shaped molecular structure. tRNAs have two regions of fundamental functional importance: the anti-codon, which is responsible for specific mRNA codon recognition, and the 3' end, to which the tRNAs corresponding amino acid is attached (by aminoacyl-tRNA synthetases). tRNAs cope with the degeneracy of the genetic code in two manners: having more than one tRNA (with a specific anti-codon) for a particular amino acid; and 'wobble' base-pairing, i.e. permitting non-standard base-pairing at the 3rd anti-codon position.
Source: RNAcentral
GGGCUCAUAGCGUAAUGGCUAUCGCGCUUCUAUGGCAUAGAAGAGAUUAGGGGUCCGAUUCCCCUUGAGUCCACCA